AGUUUGAUCAUGGCUCAGGAUGAACGCUGGCGGCGUGCUUAACACAUGCAAGUCGAACGGAAAGGCCAGUGCUUGCACUGGUACUCGAGUGGCGAACGGGUGAGUAACACGUGGGUGAUCUGCCCUGUACUUCGGGAUAAGCUUGGGAAACUGGGUCUAAUACCGGAUAGGACAACUUUUUGGAUAUUGUUGUGGAAAGCUUUUGCGGUAUGGGAUGAGCUCGCGGCCUAUCAGCUUGUUGGUGGGGUAAUGGCCUACCAAGGCGUCGACGGGUAGCCGGCCUGAGAGGGUGUACGGCCACAUUGGGACUGAGAUACGGCCCAGACUCCUACGGGAGGCAGCAGUGGGGAAUAUUGCACAAUGGGCGCAAGCCUGAUGCAGCGACGCCGCGUGGGGGAUGAAGGCCUUCGGGUUGUAAACUCCUUUCGCUAGGGACGAAGCGUUUUGUGACGGUACCUGGAGAAGAAGCACCGGCUAACUACGUGCCAGCAGCCGCGGUAAUACGUAGGGUGCGAGCGUUGUCCGGAAUUACUGGGCGUAAAGAGCUCGUAGGUGGUUUGUCGCGUCGUUUGUGUAAGUCCACAGCUUAACUGUGGGACUGCAGGCGAUACGGGCAUAACUUGAGUGCUGUAGGGGAGACUGGAAUUCCUGGUGUAGCGGUGAAAUGCGCAGAUAUCAGGAGGAACACCGAUGGCGAAGGCAGGUCUCUGGGC
Molecule: ribosomal RNA, 713 nt
Filed under: Corynebacterium sp.
Lineage: Bacteria; Bacillati; Actinomycetota; Actinomycetes; Mycobacteriales; Corynebacteriaceae
Description: bacterial SSU rRNA
Rfam family: Bacterial small subunit ribosomal RNA
Source: RNAcentral